This 1230-nucleotide long non-coding RNA is filed under the name Mytilus galloprovincialis (Mediterranean mussel). The record is from RNAcentral. Lineage: Eukaryota; Metazoa; Mollusca; Bivalvia; Mytilida; Mytilidae.
CUUGGUUGACGGGAUUUGAUAUUUUGUUAGGCUUAGUAUGUCUUACCUGUUCAAGCACGACUGUGGUUAAGCAAGUUUUUUCACAACAAUUUAAAUAAGGUACCGACAAAUUAGCUGCAGUUCUGUAGCUAUUUUGUCCUGUAAUAACUUAUUAUACCCCACUACAACAAUAUAGUCCACAAACCAUUGGGGGACGACCAUUUGAUAUUCUGUGGGAGACAAGCAGGUUUUUUUUUCGGAUUAGCUAUUCAAUUUCAUAUGUUGCUACGCAUGUUCAUUUUGUAAAUCACAAUUACCUUAUUUGUUCAAUUUGCGUUCAACAGAUUGACAAUAUUAGAUAAUGAUUCAAGAUAAAAUUUAAAAAAAACAUUGUAUAUGAUCGAUCGUCACCAAUAACCAAAUUACCUGACUGUUUAUAAAAGAACUCGGAAUUCCAAUAUAUGUUUGCUUUUGAAUUUUUCUAAUAACUAUGAUUUGACACAACAAAGCGGAAACACAUGACUCAACAUUGAACCAUGAAUAUUGAUUCGUUUUCUAAGGAAAUAGAAUCAACCCAAAACACUUUCGGCCAAACAUACGGACACCGUUAUUUUUUUUUUUUUUUUUUAUUGACAUAGCUUCCCAACAUUACCCAGUGACUAAAACCAUCAAACUAUUCCUUAAAGGAAUUAAUGGCUUGAUGCUCUUUCUUUCAACUUAUUCAAACCAUGUUUAUCAUUUUGCAUAUAUUCUUGAAAAGUAAUGAUAGGGUUUUUUUUUAUGUUAACAGUUUCCUGUCAUAAGCGAAAAUGCAAAAAAAAUAAAUAAAAAAUCGUCUUUUAAGGUGUAUACUAUGUAGCAACAUUCCAGCAGCGCCUGAAUACAGAGUAUAUAUCUCCCAGUUGAUUCGAAAUUCCAGGGCUUUUGUUUCCUAUCAUGAGGGGGGGCAAGGGGGGUCCCAAUAACAGCAAAACAGCAAAUUGAUUUGGCUCAUAACAGAUAACAAGGAAUUAAAAUGGACAAAAACAGAUAACAGUAAAUGAAAUAUUAAAAUAAUUCGGUCUUUGACAAAUCAGUAUUUCUUAUUACGGAUAUAAUCCUUUGUAAUGCAUUCCAUUUUUAUGACUAUGUUUUUAGUAUUAAUUUAUGUAUCUAGAAUGUGUUUAAAUUACUACUCAAUAUAUUAUAAUAUUUUUUAUACGCUCGUUUACGGAACGUAUUAUGGUAUACUGUUGUCCGUCUGUUGUCAAC